RNAcentral lists this ribosomal RNA (253 nucleotides) under uncultured bacterium. RNAcentral's name for it is "partial 16S ribosomal RNA". It matches the Rfam family "Bacterial small subunit ribosomal RNA", at positions 524 to 776 of the family's 1533-position model. The record is from RNAcentral.
UACGAAGGGGGCUAGCGUUGUUCGGAAUGACUGGGCGUAAAGCGCACGUAGGCGGCUUGUUUAGUCAGAGGUGAAAUCCCGGGGCUUAACCCCGGAACUGCCUUUGAUACUGGCAAGCUUGAGUCCGGAAGAGGGUAACGGAAUACCCAGUGUAGAGGUGAAAUUCGUAGAUAUUGGGUAGAACACCAGUGGCGAAGGCGGUCACCUGGUCCGGUACUGACGCUGAGGUGCGAAAGCGUGGGGAGCAAACAGG